GGCAAGAUGGCCGAGCGGUCCAAGGCGUGUGACUCAAGCGAAAGCUUGCCCGUUCUGCGGGUUAGGGUUCUCAUCAGAGUAUUCUGGCGUGGGUUCAAAUCCCACUCUUGUCA
Molecule: transfer RNA, 113 nt
Organism: Punctularia strigosozonata HHB-11173 SS5
Lineage: Eukaryota; Fungi; Basidiomycota; Agaricomycetes; Corticiales; Punctulariaceae
Rfam family: tRNA
About the family: Transfer RNA (tRNA) molecules are approximately 80 nucleotides in length.
Source: Rfam